GGAGAGAUGGCAGAGUGGCCGAAUGCACAUCCUUGCUAAGGAUGCGACUGGGUAACUGGUCCGAGGGUUCAAAUCCCUCUCUCUCCGCCA
RNAcentral lists this transfer RNA (90 nucleotides) under Pseudobdellovibrionaceae bacterium. RNAcentral describes it as "Bdellovibrionaceae bacterium tRNA-Ser". It matches the Rfam family "tRNA". Rfam says of the family: Transfer RNA (tRNA) molecules are approximately 80 nucleotides in length. Their secondary structure includes four short double-helical elements and three loops (D, anti-codon, and T loops). The record is from RNAcentral. Lineage: Bacteria; Pseudomonadati; Bdellovibrionota; Bdellovibrionia; Bdellovibrionales; Pseudobdellovibrionaceae.